AGCAGUGGUACUCAACGCAGGGAACGUUUUCCUUUUCCGGCGGAGAGGGCCGGCGGGACCCGCACCGCAACGGCGGCACGGGAAGGGAGGCCUGAGGGCCCGGCGGUCGCCGUGGAGCUCCGGGCGGAGAGGCGCACACGUGUGCGGUGACCUGCUGCUCCUGAGCCGGCUCGGGAAGCUGCAGCUGUGCAGGGCCACGAGGCGUUUCGGGGCAAGUGAAAGCGGGCUGGAGUAACGGCCUGGUGGGCCUCGUGUAGCUGUGACCGCGGGCGUAACGUAGGCAUCGGGCUGUGAACACAGCAAGGGAUGCACCCGAGUACGGUUAAAAAACGCUUUUGGGGUUGCUGUGUCUAACAGCGAAGCUGAUGCUCUUCAUGCUGUACAAUUAAAGAGUCAGUGCGGUUUUUAAAGAACACAACAUCAGCUGCAGAAUUCUGUGAAACAGGAGAAAUCAAAAUUGUUUUUUGCUCUACCAUGUGGUAGCCUACAGCAAAAGUAAUGGCAGGCAGUGGAUGCGGUAGUACAGGUAAACAAAAGGAUUCACAGGCAGCGGUCCUCACAGUGCUAGGUUGUGUAGGUGAAUGAUAUAAAUCUUUUAACUUUUUUUUUGAAUUUAACAAGUUGUUCAGGUCUUUGUUAUUUCCAUAUUGUCAAAUCAAGUUCAGCCUUGUAACUUUUAAACUGCUUGCUGCUAUAUCUCCGCUUUGGGUUCUCUAUUGGGCUGGUUCUACAGCUUACAGAUUUAAUAAAGUUUUCAAAAGA
Long non-coding RNA from Cygnus olor (mute swan), 762 nucleotides. RefSeq lists it as uncharacterized. The record is from RefSeq and is a predicted model, not a curated record. The transcript has 4 exons. Lineage: Eukaryota; Metazoa; Chordata; Aves; Anseriformes; Anatidae.